This 588-nucleotide ribosomal RNA is filed under the name uncultured bacterium. Its description in RNAcentral is "partial 16S ribosomal RNA". It matches the Rfam family "Bacterial small subunit ribosomal RNA", at positions 355 to 940 of the family's 1533-position model. The record is from RNAcentral.
UGGGGAAUAUUGCACAAUGGGCGCAAGCCUGAUGCAGCCAUGCCGCGUGUGUGAAGAAGGCCUUCGGGUUGUAAAGCACUUUCAGCGAGGAGGAAGGUGGUGAACUUAAUACGUUCAUCAAUUGACGUUACUCGCAGAAGAAGCACCGGCUAACUCCGUGCCAGCAGCCGCGGUAAUACGGAGGGUGCAAGCGUUAAUCGGAAUUACUGGGCGUAAAGCGCACGCAGGCGGUUUGUUAAGUCAGAUGUGAAAUCCCCGGGCUCAACCUGGGAACUGCAUUUGAAACUGGCAAGCUAGAGUCUCGUAGAGGGGGGUAGAAUUCCAGGUGUAGCGGUGAAAUGCGUAGAGAUCUGGAGGAAUACCGGUGGCGAAGGCGGCCCCCUGGACGAAGACUGACGCUCAGGUGCGAAAGCGUGGGGAGCAAACAGGAUUAGAUACCCCUGGUAGUCCACGCUGUAAACGAUGUCGAUUUUGGAGGUUGUGCCCUUGAGGCGUGGCUUCCGGAGCUAACGCGUUAAAUCGACCGCCUGGGGAGUACGGCCGCAAGGUUAAAACUCAAAGGAAUUGACGGGGUCAAUGCUGUUUCCU